Molecule: long non-coding RNA, 280 nt
Organism: Etheostoma spectabile (orangethroat darter)
Lineage: Eukaryota; Metazoa; Chordata; Actinopteri; Perciformes; Percidae
Exons: 4
Source: RefSeq, a predicted model, not a curated record
AGAGAGAGAGAGAGAGAGAGACUGAAAAUGCGCUCAGAGCAGACAGCUGUCGGCUAUCAGAGCAGAGAAUACAUCAGCAGUUUGCUUGUUAAGUGGUAGUAAAUGUACAGUGUAAGAUUCCAUUUGUCUCCAGAAAGAAAGUUCCCGUGUCUUGCUUCUCAACAUCGCACAAAAAAAAGAAGAGGGGAGAGCAGCAGUCAGUUGAAAAAACUCCCGACAGAGAGAGCGGAUACGAGAGGACGGGGGAGCCUGUCUACAAAUCACUGAAUUAUAAAUAUCU